Molecule: signal recognition particle RNA, 293 nt
Filed under: Carlito syrichta (Philippine tarsier)
Lineage: Eukaryota; Metazoa; Chordata; Mammalia; Primates; Tarsiidae
Description: Metazoan signal recognition particle RNA (ENSTSYG00000030125.1)
Rfam family: Metazoan signal recognition particle RNA
About the family: The signal recognition particle (SRP) is a universally conserved ribonucleoprotein. It is involved in the co-translational targeting of proteins to membranes. The eukaryotic SRP consists of a 300-nucleotide 7S RNA and six proteins: SRPs 72, 68, 54, 19, 14, and 9.
Source: RNAcentral
GCAGGUGCACCCCUGUUGUCCCAGCUACUUGGGAGGCUGAGGCGGGGAGGACACUUGAGUCCGGGAGUUGUGGCCUGUAGUAUGCUAUGGUGAUUGGGUGUCUGUACUAAGUUUGGCACCGAUAUAGUGAUAUCCUAGGAGUGGAGAUCGCAUGCUUCUUAAGGAGGGGUAAGCCAGCCCAGGGCAGAAACAGCAGGUGAAAACUCCUGUGCUGAUCAGUUGUGUGGGCUCAUGCCUGUGAAUAACCCACUGCACCCUGCCACUUAAAAAAAAAAGAAUGUCAUUUAUCUUCU